RNAcentral lists this long non-coding RNA (321 nucleotides) under Phascolarctos cinereus (koala). RNAcentral's name for it is "lncRNA (ENSPCIG00000033848.1)". Lineage: Eukaryota; Metazoa; Chordata; Mammalia; Diprotodontia; Phascolarctidae. The record is from RNAcentral.
AGACAGUACAGUGUAGUUCCUUGAGAGAUGGCAUCAGAGUUGGAAAGAACUGGGUUCAAGACUCACUCUGGCGUGUAUCAGCAGUAUGAUUCUGGGAUCAAAAGGAGCUCUGAAUUCCAGCUGACCUUCCACAGAGAAGCGAUUUACUGCCAAGUGAUCUGCCUAAUCAUUGGCAUCUUGAGUGGUUGUGGAGAAGAAGGCCAGUUCAAGGAAGUGCUGAGUCCAGUGGCUCCAAAGAUCAGGUACCAUGAAGAGCUCGGCACUCUUUUCUAUUCUUUAGGAUAUUACCAUAUAAUUACCGAGGGGGAAGGAAGAGGGUAG